Molecule: ribosomal RNA, 117 nt
Filed under: Danio rerio (zebrafish)
Lineage: Eukaryota; Metazoa; Chordata; Actinopteri; Cypriniformes; Danionidae
Source: RNAcentral
UGGGCUUAAUUUAGCUCUCUGCAACUCUCACAUGGUGGUCCACUGAAGCUAAGCAGGGCUGUCGCCCGGUCAGCAGCUGGAUGGGAGACCACAUGGAAAAGCAAGGUUGCAGCCGGA